This 104-nucleotide non-coding RNA is filed under the name unclassified sequences. RNAcentral describes it as "engA RNA". It matches the Rfam family "engA RNA". The record is from RNAcentral.
GCCCUGACUGUAUGUAGGGCUCACUCUGGCAAAGACCAGGGCUGGGGAACAGGUCGUCCUCGGCAAAUUAUUCAUCAGGGCGCAUGACCCUCGCCCCGACUCCU